This 236-nucleotide ribosomal RNA is filed under the name uncultured Sphingomonadales bacterium. RNAcentral's name for it is "partial 16S ribosomal RNA". It matches the Rfam family "Bacterial small subunit ribosomal RNA", at positions 524 to 758 of the family's 1533-position model. Lineage: Bacteria; Pseudomonadati; Pseudomonadota; Alphaproteobacteria; Sphingomonadales. The record is from RNAcentral.
UACGGAGGGAGCUAGCGUUGUUCGGAAUUACUGGGCGCAAAGCGCACGUAGGCGGCUUUGUAAGUUGGAGGUGAUAGCCUGGAGCUCAACUCCAGAAUUGCCUUUAAGACUGCAUCGCUUCGAAUCCAGGAGAGGUGAGUGGAAUUCCGAGUGUAGAGGUGAAAUUCGUAGAUAUUCGGAAGAACACCAGUGGCGAAGGUUCACUCACUGGAGGGUUAUGACGCUGAGGUGCGAAA